ACUCUAAUGAGACUGCCGGUGACAAACCGGAGGAAGGUGGGGAUGACGUCAAGUCCUCAUGGCCCUUAUGGGUAGGGCUUCACACGUCAUACAAUGGUACAUACAGAGCGCCGCCAACCCGCGAGGGGGAGCUAAUCGCAGAAAGUGUAUCGUAGUCCGGAUUGUAGUCUGCAACUCGACUGCAUGAAGUUGGAAUCGCUAGUAAUCGCGGAUCAGCAUGUCGCGGUGAAUACGUUCCCGGGUCUUGUACACACCGCCCGUCACACCAUGGGAGCG
This 276-nucleotide ribosomal RNA is filed under the name Mesorhizobium sp. Its description in RNAcentral is "partial 16S ribosomal RNA". It matches the Rfam family "Bacterial small subunit ribosomal RNA", at positions 1137 to 1412 of the family's 1533-position model. The record is from RNAcentral. Lineage: Bacteria; Pseudomonadati; Pseudomonadota; Alphaproteobacteria; Hyphomicrobiales; Phyllobacteriaceae.